RNAcentral lists this ribosomal RNA (713 nucleotides) under uncultured bacterium. RNAcentral describes it as "bacterial SSU rRNA". It matches the Rfam family "Bacterial small subunit ribosomal RNA", at positions 601 to 1315 of the family's 1533-position model. The record is from RNAcentral.
CCCCGGGCUCAACCUGGGAACUGCGUUNUGAACUGGGUAGCUAGAGUAUGUCAGAGGGGGGUAGAAUUCCACGUGUAGCGGUGAAAUGCGUAGAGAUGUGGAGGAAUACCGAUGGCGAAGGCAGCCCCCUGGGAUAAUACUGACGUUCAUGCUCGAAAGCGUGGGUAGCAAACAGGAUUAGAUACCCUGGUAGUCCACGCCCUAAACGAUGUCGAUUAGCUGUUGGGCAGCUUGACUGCUUAGUAGCGUAGCUAACGCGUGAAAUCGACCGCCUGGGGAGUACGGUCGCAAGAUUAAAACUCAAAGGAAUUGACGGGGACCCGCACAAGCGGUGGAUGAUGUGGAUUAAUUCGAUGCAACGCGAAGAACCUUACCUGGUCUUGACAUGUACGGAACCUUCCAGAGACGGAAGGGUGCCUUCGGGAGCCGUAACACAGGUGCUGCAUGGCUGUCGUCAGCUCGUGUCGUGAGAUGUUGGGUUAAGUCCCGCAACGAGCGCAACCCUUGUCAUUAGUUGCCAUCAUUCAGUUGGGCACUCUAAUGAGACUGCCGGUGACAAACCGGAGGAAGGUGGGGAUGACGUCAAGUCCUCUUGGCCCUUAUGACCAGGGCUUCACACGUCAUACAAUGGUCGGUACAAAGGGUAGCCAAGCCGCGAGGCGGAGCCUAUCUCAUAAAACCGAUCGUAGUCCGGAUUGCACUCUGCAACUCGA